AAUAGAUACCCAGGUAGUCCACGCCGUAAACGAUGAGUGCUAAGUGUUAGAGGGUUUCCGCCCUUUAGUGCUGAAGUUAACGCAUUAAGCACUCCGCCUGGGGAGUACGGCCGCAAGGCUGAAACUCAAAGGAAUUGACGGGGGCCCGCACAAGCGGUGGAGCAUGUGGUUUAAUUCGAAGCAACGCGAAGAACCUUACCAGGUCUUGACAUCCUCUGACAACCCUAGAGAUAGGGCCUCUCCUUCGGGAGCAGAGUGACAGGUGGUGCAUGGUUGUCGUCAGCUCGUGUCGUGAGAUGUUGGGUUAAGUCCCGCAACGAGCGCAACCCUUGAUCUUAGUUGCCAUCAUUAAGUUGGGCACUCUAAGGUGACUGCCGGUGACAAACCGGAGGAAGGUGGGGAUGACGUCAAAUCAUCAUGCCCCUUAUGACCUGGGCUACACACGUGCUACAAUGGACGGUACAAAGAGCUGCAAGACCGCGAGGUGGAGCUAAUCUCAUAAAACCGUUCUCAGUUCGGA
RNAcentral lists this ribosomal RNA (520 nucleotides) under uncultured bacterium. RNAcentral describes it as "bacterial SSU rRNA". It matches the Rfam family "Bacterial small subunit ribosomal RNA", at positions 777 to 1297 of the family's 1533-position model. The record is from RNAcentral.